Molecule: ribosomal RNA, 876 nt
Filed under: uncultured bacterium
Lineage: Bacteria
Description: bacterial SSU rRNA
Rfam family: Bacterial small subunit ribosomal RNA
Source: RNAcentral
GGCUCAGAACGAACGCUGGCGGCGUGCCUAACACAUGCAAGUCGAGCGAGAAAGCCCGCAAGGGUGAGUAAAGCGGCGCACGGGUGCGUAACACGUGGGUAAUCUGCCCUAGAGUCCGGAAUAACUCGCCGAAAGGCGUGCUAAUGCCGGAUGAGACCACGGGAGCCUCGGCUCUCGCGGGAAAAGGUGGCCUCUGUACACAAGCCAUCGCUCUUGGAUGAGCCCGCGGCCCAUCAGCUCGUUGGCGGGGUAAUGGCCCACCAAGGCUACGACGGGUAGCUGGUCUGAGAGGACGAUCAGCCACACUGGAACUGAGACACGGUCCAGACUCCUACGGGAGGCAGCAGUGGGGAAUCUUGCGCAAUGGGCGAAAGCCUGACGCAGCAACGCCGCGUGUGUGAUGAAGGUCUUCGGAUCGUAAAGCACUGUCGCGAGGGACGAAUAAGGGCCGGGUUAACAGCCCGGUCCGAUGACGGUACCUCGAGAGGAAGCACCGGCUAACUCUGUGCCAGCAGCCGCGGUAAUACAGAGGGUGCAAGCGUUGUUCGGAAUUAUUGGGCGUAAAGCGCGUGUAGGCGGCUUGGCAAGUCGGAUGUGAAAGCCCUCGGCUUAACCGAGGAAGUGCGUUCGAAACUGCCUGGCUUGAGUACCGGAGAGGGUGGCGGAAUUCCCGGUGUAGAGGUGAAAUUCGUAGAUAUCGGGAGGAACACCAGCGGCGAAGGCGGCCACCUGGACAGAUACUGACGCUGAGACGCGAAAGCGUGGGUAGCAAACAGGAUUAGAUACCCUGGUAGUCCACGCUGUAAACGAUGAGCGCUAGGUGUUGUGGGUGUUGACCCCCGCAGUGCCGCAGCUAACGCAUUAAGCGCUCCGCCU